This 500-nucleotide ribosomal RNA is filed under the name uncultured bacterium. RNAcentral's name for it is "bacterial SSU rRNA". It matches the Rfam family "Bacterial small subunit ribosomal RNA", at positions 30 to 507 of the family's 1533-position model. The record is from RNAcentral.
AUUGAACGCUGGCGGCAGGCCUAACACAUGCAAGUUGAGCGGUAACAGAAAGAAAGCUUGCUUUCUAAGUUUAGCGGCGGACGGGUGAGUAACACGUGGGCAACCUGCCUAUAAGACUGGGAUAACUUCGGGAAACCGGAGCUAAUACCGGAUAAUAUAAAAGAUCACAUGGUCUUUUAUUGAAAGAUGGCUUCGGCUAUCACUUAUAGAUGGGCCCGCGGCGCAUUAGCUAGUUGGUGAGGUAAUGGCUCACCAAGGCGACGAUGCGUAGCCGACCUGAGAGGGUGAUCGGCCACACUGGGACUGAGACACGGCCCAGACUCCUACGGGAGGCAGCAGUAGGGAAUCUUCCGCAAUGGACGAAAGUCUGACGGAGCAACGCCGCGUGAACGAUGAAGGCCCUCGGGUCGUAAAGUUCUGUUGUUAGGGAAGAACAAGUAUCGUUCGAAUAGGGCGGUACCUUGACGGUACCUAACCAGAAAGCCACGGCUAACUACGUG